RNAcentral lists this transfer RNA (73 nucleotides) under Candidatus Lambdaproteobacteria bacterium. RNAcentral describes it as "tRNA-Val". It matches the Rfam family "tRNA". From Rfam's summary of the family: Transfer RNA (tRNA) molecules are approximately 80 nucleotides in length. Their secondary structure includes four short double-helical elements and three loops (D, anti-codon, and T loops). Further hydrogen bonds mediate the characteristic L-shaped molecular structure. tRNAs have two regions of fundamental functional importance: the anti-codon, which is responsible for specific mRNA codon recognition, and the 3' end, to which the tRNAs corresponding amino acid is attached (by aminoacyl-tRNA synthetases). tRNAs cope with the degeneracy of the genetic code in two manners: having more than one tRNA (with a specific anti-codon) for a particular amino acid; and 'wobble' base-pairing, i.e. permitting non-standard base-pairing at the 3rd anti-codon position. Lineage: Bacteria; Pseudomonadati; Pseudomonadota; Candidatus Lambdaproteobacteria. The record is from RNAcentral.
GGGCGAUUAGCUCAGCUGGGAGAGCGCUGCCCUCACAUGGCAGAGGUCGCAGGUUCAAACCCUGCAUCGCCCA